UUUCCGUAGGUGAACCUGCGGAAGGAUCAUUAUUGUAUAACCGAGGUGCGAGGGCUGUCGCUGACCCGAAAGGUCGUGCACGCCCGAGUGCCCUCACACACAUCCAUCUCACCCCUAUUUGCACCACCGCGUGGGUCCCCCUUUGGCUUGUUCGGAGGGGGGCUUACGUUUUCACACAAACUUUGUAUGCAGUGUAUAAUGUAUUUUUUGUUUUUGCGAUCACGCAAUAAAUACAACUUUCAACAACGGAUCUCUUGGCUCUC
Molecule: unclassified non-coding RNA, 263 nt
Filed under: plant metagenome
Description: partial contains small subunit ribosomal RNA, internal transcribed spacer 1, and 5.8S ribosomal RNA
Source: RNAcentral